UGCCCAUCUUUCCAACGCAACGCAGCCUGCGACGUCGCUCCCAUGGCAACUGAAGAGUUCGCACCAGCCGGCUGGUCUCAGAGCUUGCUGGCGUCUUGGUUUCAAGGUGGCCUCUAACGCUGAGCCCACGACGCUGGCGCGGUCGAGCCACGAUGCCCAGUGAAACUCUCUGGGAAAUUGCAAAAGCCGAAGUGGAAAAACAUGGAAGUAGUGGAGGUGAUGGUGAUGGGCUUGAAAUUGGAGAAAAAUCUGUUUUCUUCAUUGGCAGUAAAAAUGGGGGAAAGACUACUAUUAUUCUAAGGUGUCUUGACAGGGAUGAGCCACCAAAACCAACAUUAGCUUUGGAAUAUACAUAUGGAAGAAGAGCAAAAGGGCAUAAUAUACCGAAAGAUAUUGCUCACUUCUGGGAACUAGGUGGAGGAACGUCUUUAUUGGACUUAAUCAGCAUCCCCAUCACAAGUGAUACCUUACGGACAUUUUCUCUUGUUCUUGUUUUGGAUCUUUCGAAACCUAAUGACCUUUGGCCCACCAUGGAAAAUCUGUUGCAAGCCACAAAAAGCCAUGUGGAUAAAAUGAUAAUGAAACUGGGCAAGACCAAUUCUAAAGCAGCUUCUGAAAUGAGACAGAAGAUAUGGAGUAAUAUGCAGAAGGACCAUCCAGAUCGUGAAUUAAUCGACCCAUUUCUAAUACCUCUGGUCAUAAUUGGAAGUAAAUACGAUAUUUUUCAGGAUUUUGACUCUGAGAAGAGGAAGGUUAUAUGCAAGACCCUUCGAUUUGUUGCACAUUAUUAUGGAGCAUCAUUAAUGUUUACCAGUAAAUCAGAAGCUCUAUUACUAAAAAUACGUGGAGUUAUCAACCAGUUAGCAUUUGGCAUUAACAAAAGCAAAUCAAUAUGUGUGGAUCAGAAUAAACCACUGUUUAUCACAGCAGGAUUGGAUUCUUUAAGUCAAAUAGGAUCUCCUCCUGUUCCUGAUAAUGAUAUUGGAAAACUUCAUGCCCAUUCACCAAUGGAGUUGUGGAAGAAAGUGUAUGAAAGGGUCUUUCCACCAAAGAGUAUCAACACACUAAAAGAUAUCAAGGACCCUGCAAGAGACCCUCAGUAUGCGGAAAGUGAAGUUGAUGAAAUGAGAAUUCAGAAGGAUCAGGAACUGGAACAAUACAAAAGAAGUUCUUCCAAGUCUUGGAAACAAAUUGAGCUUGAUUCUUGAACCUCAUUCAACUAUACUGUAUUUAUUUCUUCUCCCCCCCCACCAAAAGUAACAUAAGGAAUAAUAUGGAAGACAUCGGGAGAUGGAGAGAAGUGAGUUGAGAGAAGUCGGAGGGGGAGACAAACCAUGAGACACUGUGAACUCCGAGAAACAAACUGAGGGUUUUGGAAAGGGGGGUGGGGAGGUGAGCCUGGUGGUGAGUAUUAUGGAAGGCACAAAUUGCAUGGAGCACUGGGUGUGAUGCAUAAACAAUGAAUUUUGGAAGACUGAAAAAAAUUAAAAAGAACUAUGUAGUAUUUCCAAAGAAACUGGAUCCCCAGUCUAAAGAACCUCAGUGAUGUCCGUUCCACACAAACCCCUUUCCAAAUGGAGACUGUAAAAAAAGGACUGAAAAUGUCUGCAGACCCAUGGAAGACACCCAGGCAGCAGCUAGUAGCAGUUCUGGGUCCCACUUACUGGGAUCCUGGAGGAGCUGGGCUGCAAUGGAGACCCGGCGCCGCUCGCCAUUGGAAAUUCCCCCAAGAUUGCAGGUGCCAAUCAGUCGAUCUGCCACAUGGCUCAGACUCAAUUCCACCAUAACUGCGUCCACCUUCAGGAAACACAAAUCCAGGAAGGCUGGUCAUUGCUGGGCUAUUGCUCCAAUUCAUGGAGUUCUGAUGGCAUGGGAGAGGCAACAUACUUCCCUUGAGUGCUCGGGCCACUUUCAGACUCACCACACACUAGGGAAAACAUGCCUACUAUGAUAAAAUCCAAUUUGCUCUAAGUCAUAAUAUAGUACAUGUGUCAGGUUAAAAUAAAUUAAUAUAACUGUUUUUUCAAAAGUCUCUAGAGCAGCAAAAACUAUAUUCAUUUCAGGGAAAUUCACCAGGAAACAAGGAAAGGUCACUGGACUCAUAUUUUCAGAUGCUGCAUUAAGUCCAGCAUACAGAAAAAUCCCCUAAAGGCAUAGGGACAAUGCAGUUUCUUUUAAUGUUUGGUUUUUGAAAUUUUAUUGUGUUUUUUUUUUAAGAUUUUAUUUAUUUGACAGAGAUCACAAGUAGGCAGAGGCAGGCAGAGAGAGAGAAGGGGAAGCAGGCUCCCUGCUGAGUAGAGAGCCUAAUGUGGGGCUCAAUCCCAAAGCCCCCCGGAUCAUGACCUGAGCCGAAGGCAGAGGCUUUAACCCACUGAGCCACCCAGGCGCCCCUGAAAUUUUAUUGUGUUUUAUAUGUGUUAAAAAAAAAAAAAAAAAAAAAAGUCCUGAUUUGGUUUGAACGAACCUUGGCUACCUUAUGUAACCCAAAUAAGUCCUGGAGUCCUGUGUGGUCCAAUCUCAGUGUGAUUUUGCAUCAAAUAUAAUCAAGCUACCAAAAGUAAUUAAAAAUGAUGCCAAUAUUUAUUUUACUCUCAUUAAAAAUUUUCCAGGGGACCCAGUUUAUAACCUGCAUCCACACUUAAUAUCCUGUCCCACAGUUCUCCUCGCUGUAUUUAUCUUGGACUCUGCCGCACCCUGAAACCAUCUCCUUAGUCUUCCUCAACUCCCCUACAACAAUAACAACUAGAAAAGUUCUUGACUGACUUUCUAAUCAAGAAAGUUGGGCUUUCUCUUCCCCUCCUUCUUUCCUUCCUCAGCUUAGCCCAUCUCCAGAGACCCUUUCAAAAAUCUCUACUUCUGACCCUGCCUUGCUGAUUACCCCUAUCUGCAUAGGGCCCUGGGGAAAGCAGCUAGAAACAGACUGAAAAUACUUAUAUAUAUGGUAGUGAGUUUGAUUCCCAUAUACCUCUAAUGAGAUUGUGUUACUUUUAUAAUGAAAAAAGAAACAAAACACUGCAUAAAAAAUAACAACAAAUAGGCUGGAGUAAAAGAGGGGAUGAUCUGUGGGACAAAGUUCCCGUGGAGCCAGGGGAUGAGAUCAGCAGCAUGGAGGAAAGGUUUGACCAAAAGAAGGAACACAUAUGAAAUAAACCUAAAGGAAUAACGAGGUUAAAAUGCAUAAAUAAACCAGUAUGAUUUAUUCUGGAAAAAAGAAGGUCCUCCUUUUGCCAUCAGAAUUGAAGGAUUCUGGAAUUGAGUUUUGCUUGGUAUAGCCAGGUUGAGGUGCUCACCAGCCAGGGCAGAUUCCUGAGCAUCCCUUUCAUCUGCUCUGCAACUCCAAGAAAGGAGUAAAGCUUGCCCCUCCCGGCUCGGAAGGGAUGGACAUGUAUUUAACCUGUUUCACAGGACCCAAAGCCUUUCCCGUGUUUAGCAAACGUUGCGAAACUACUGGGGAUGGAAUGUACAGUGUCUUAGAAGAAACCCUUGGGAUCAUUGGGAUGCACUGGGAUCAUCAACCUCUACGCUGUAUGUUCUCAGAUAAAACUGACUCAUUCCUCACAUCAACUCCAAGAGAGACACAUUAUUAUCUAUUUAUUACAGAGGAGAAGAUAGAUCCUCAGAGAGGUGCAUAAUUUGCCCGAGGUCAAACUAUUUUGCCUGAGGUCAGACUGUUAGCAAGUGGCAGAGCUGGGGCUGAAAGACCUGUCUGUGUUCUCUCAAAUGGUCCAUGAAGCUCAAGGAUUUGCCAACAGUCCAGCAGACACAGCCUGCCCAUGUCAAGCACAGCUUUAUGUUCAGGUUCCUCAGAGGAGAGAUCAGCUGUGCUCUGUCCUGUAUUAUCACCACCACUUCCUUCUCACUAAAUUACUUUAUCAGGAUUUUAUACCCUAUGGACUAGAUUUGCUCAGAAAGUACUUUCCAGCAGAGAGAACUUUCACAGGACUUUGAGGGACUGCCAGUGCCAGAGGAACAUUUACUGGAGGGAUUUUUUUUUUUUUUUUUAAAGAUUUGAGAGAAAGAGCACAAGCAAGGGAGCAGCAGAGGGAAAGGGAGAAGCAGGGUCCCUGCUGAGCAGGGAGCUCGAUGUGGGGCUGGAUCCCAGGACCCUGAAAUCACAACCUGAGCUGAAGGCAGAUGCUUAACUGACUGAGCCACCCAGGCACCCUCAGGGGGAAAGUUUUUUGCCAUCAAUCGAUUUCAAGGCAUCCAUGAAUUUUCUGAAUAUUUAUGUGAGCAUGAGCAUUUUCUGGAGACGAGCUCAGUGGCAUUCUUAGUUUCACUCUUUCUGUGGGAUAUGUGAUAUAAGUGGAUCACCAACUCAGAAGCAUCUGUUUAUGAUGGCAUUCCUGCCACCCAAAUACAAAUAGGAUCUUCUCCUGCCCCUUUUAGAGACAGAAAUACUAAAGCAAGCAGAAAGUCUGCAGAUGAACUCCUCUAUCACUCACAGUCAGGGCUACUGUGAACAUGCCUGUACUUCAAUGUGGGCUGAAGACAACCUCCAUUUCCUCUCAUCGCAAUGGGAUUCAGGAGAUCCCAGAGCUCAGGAAGACAUGAUGGGAGCUAGAGGGCCUGGGUUCGCAUUCCAGCUCUGCCCUUCCCAACUGUCUGAUCUUAAUCUCGUAUUUCAGGAGAUAUGCCUCCCACAUAGGGUUGAUGCCAGGAUACGGUGAAAUACUGUACAUGAGCAAAGCCUGACUGAUGCCAGCCAACUAGGAGAGUUCAGAGUACACACACACCUUGUUUAAUUGCACUUUACUUUACUGCAUUCACAGAUAACGCAUUCUCUACGAACUGAUGGUUUGUACCAACCCUGUACUAAACAAGUCUACUCACCCCAUUUUUUCAAUAGGAUUUGCUCACUUCAUGUCUGUGUCAGUAAAGUAUUUUUAAAUUAAAGUAAGUAUAUUGGGUUUUGGGUCACCUGGGUGGCUCAGUGGGUUAUGCAUGAUCUUCAGCUCAGGUCAUGAUCUCAGGGUCCUGGGAUCAAGCCCCACAUGGGGUUCUCUACUCAGCAGGGAGCCUGCUUCUCCCUCUCUCUCUGCCUGCUGCUCUAUCUGUGAUCUCUGUGAAAUAAAUAAAAAUUUUUAAAGAAAAAAAAUUUUUAAGUAUAUUGGGUUUCUUUUAGACAUAAUGCUACUGUACACCUCACAGACUGGAGUAUUAGUAUAAAUGUAACUUAUAUGCACUGGGAAACCAAAAAACUCAUCGGACUUUAUUUUGAUAUUUGCUUUGUUGCAGUGGUCUGGAGCCAAACCUGUAGUAUCUCUGAGGUAUGCCUGUAUAACCCAGUUGAAUGGUAAGAGCCUUGCAAUGCCUUCUGAGCACUCUACGGUAACCUCCAGGAAGGAAUGAGAGCUAGGCAUCCCUGUGAGGCUGAUGGUCUUUCUUGAGGGCCACACUCCUUGCUAAGACUCCUCUGGAAUAAAAGCUAUCCUUCAGCACUGUCUAGGACUCUCAAACAAAAAAAUGCCCUUUACCCACCUGGGCAUUAUAUCAAACAAAUCUUCUGGUACUUGGGACACAGCUUAGACCUAAUAUCACUCUCCAAGCCCUGUCUUAAAGUCCAGUGCCAAGGACAGAUUGAGCAAGUCCCUAGUGACAGACGCUGCAAUGCCUGAUAAAAAUGGUGUACCCUCAGCUGAUAUGGACGACUUCCUUGGAGCCUCAAUGGCAUUAAAAAAGGCCGGCCUGGAGCCUGAACUGCAGAUAUAAUUUGUGUGCCCACGUGGAGCCUCACCACUGUGGCUUCGCUGAAGCCUCUGAGGCUGAUGUUGCUGGUCUCCCCCCGUGACUCUGAGGGUUCCCCAGGGAACUGUACCUGCUUUGGAAGUGGCACAUCUCUGUAUCCUUAGUUCCCUGUUUUCAGUCCAGACAGAAAUGAGGCAACAAUUCCAGGUAAGGUCCCCACAGGCUUACCUAUGACUACUGCCAAAUUAGAUACAUUUAAAGCAAUAGAUUGAAUCCUCAGAAGAGGAGACAAGUCAAUAGUUACUUCCUUUGUUAACUUAAUCUAGUUUGGAUGAGACACAUUCAAAAGGCCUCAAAGAAAGUUGAGAAAAAUCUCAAUAGGGCAAAGUACAGUGAGGAAAACAACCAUUAUUAUUCAAACACAGAGCUCCUAAAACAGCACCAUCUAAUAGAAAUAUAAUAUAAGCCACAUAGAAUUUAAAUAUUUUAGUAGUCACAUUUUAAAAAGAAACAAGUGAAAUUAAUUUUAAUAUAUUUAACCUGGUGCAGCCAAAAUACACCAUUUCAAACUUGUUAACCAAUAUUGUUUUAUGAGAUGUAGCAAAUGCAAUUUUAAUUAGGGAUGUAAUUAAAUGCAAUUUAUUUAUUUAGUUUUUUUUUAUUUCAAUCUUUUAUUAUUAUUAUUAAUAAUUUAUUUAUUUUCAGAAAAACAGUAUUAUUUUUUCACCACACCAGUGCUCCAUGCAAUCCGUGCCCUCUAUAAUACCCACCACCUGGUACCCUAACCUCCCACCACCCCGCCACUUCAAACCCCUCAGGUUGUUUUUCAGAGUCCAUAGUCUCUCAUGAUUCACCUCCCCUUCCAAUUUACCCCAACUUUUAAAAAUUAAUAAGAUAUUUCACAUUCUCUUUUUUCAGACUAAGUUUCUAAAAUUCUGUGUGUACUUCCCAUUCAUAGCACAUCUCAGGCCCAGCCACGUGUCAAGCGCUCAAAGCCACAGGUGACCAGUGGCUGCCAUACUGGACAACACAGGUCUAGACUAAAGGGAUGAAGACUGAAGGGGAGAAAUGGGCAAGUAGACAGAAGCAGGAGUGUGAAGCCCCAUAGGCUGAUACCCUAAGAGGGCCGCAGGAGGCCCAAGGCUACCCACCUUUCUCUGGAAAAACCCCGGGGAGCCCUGGCGCACAGCCAGCAGUGCCGCAUAGCGUAGAGUCUCCCGCACGGUCAGGUUGCUCAGCAGUGUGUCACUCUGCGAGAGAGGGAGGCAGGAGGCAUCAGCAUGGCUGAGACCGGGCUGUGGGUGGCUGUGGCAGGGUCCCCAGAAAGCACCCACCUGCUGGACAUAGGAGAAGCAGUCCUGGAACUGCUCCCUGCGCAAUGGCUGGCCGUUAACAAACACGUCCCCAAGGAAGGUCCCUGUGCGCCGCAGCCUCCCGGACAUGGCAUCCAGCAGCGUGGUUUUCCCUGAGCCUGUGAGACAAGAAAAUAAGGCCAGAGAGGACUCCCUCCAUGAGGCAUUGCUGGGCUGUCCCCAGAUACUCAGUUGGUCUAGCACCAACUUGCUCUUUCCUAACCCCCCUGGGUCAAACUCUACCAAUGAGCCUUUCUGGCUUGUCUCCUGAGUCAGAGAGGGACAAGCCAGUCAGGACUGGAGGAACUUUGCCUGUUUAUGGGUUUUUACAGCUGUUUUGAGUUGAAAAAGAAAAUAUAGGCAGUUUCUUUCCCCUGGUUUGGUUUUUCUUGGGUCAGAAAUUAGGUGAUACCAUUAGGACAAGGCACCAGCCAGUCCCUUCUGUUCAUAGUGGACACAAACCUACAUGAGCCCAGAGUGUCAAUGGAGACAGGAACCAGCAUUGGCAGGCUACUAAAAAGUUAAAUUAACAGAGGAAAUAGGCAGAAGGUUCUGAACUGUCUGAAAAGAUAGCAAGAGAAUUCUACCAAGGAUAUGAUGACUUGUGCAAAACGAAGAGAAGAUCUUUUGUUCAAAUAUUAUAAAGAAACUGCCUCUUGCCAUGAGGGAUACAAAGAUGAAGCCAAGCUCCUAUGCAGUGGUUUUCUUAACUAACCCAUGGCUGACCAAGCUCAGGUUUAGCUCCAGCAUCUUCAACAGGGUGGGAAGAGAGGAGGGGGACUGUAAAGAAAUGAAAUGUGGUAUCAUUCGAGCUGUCUUUCAAAACAUGUUCUGAAACUUCCUGGUCAUUAUCCUAGGCCUUGUAUGUGGUUCUGAAUAGAAUCUUCCUUGCCUUCCCUUUCUGGGAUCCAAUCUCCACUCUGACGAAAGGUCCAAAUGUCCUGGAGCCUGGAUCCCCUCACAAUAUCAAAACUGACCUGGCUGAGGUCAUCAAGGUUGCUUCCUUGUUGCCACAUCUGGUGGGCACCUUCCUGUGUGCUGACCUCUCAACAGCAUUUAUACCAUUGCUUGCCUUUCUCUGUAAAACUCUGUCCUCUGGCUUUGAUGCUACUUCAUCCUCUUGGUUUUAUCCCUCUGUUCUGGCUGCUUCUUCCCAGCAUCCUCUGGGUGACACUCAGGGUUCUUUCUUAGGCCUUCUGGUUCCCAUGUGACACAUUCUCACUGAGCAACAGAGCCCCAACUUGCUAGCCAGCAUGCAAGGGAGACACCUUGGAGGUAGAUUCUCCAGCCCUGCUCAAGCCUUCAGAUGACUAUAGCCCAGCAGACUUCUCACUACUACCUCAAGAGAUACCCCAGAUAGAACUAUCCAACAACAUCACUUCCAAAUUUCUGACUCAUAGAAAUCCUGAGAGGUAAUAAUGAUUUUUAUUGUUUUAAGCCACUUAGUUCUGGGAUGCUUUUGACAUAGACACAGAUGGCUUGGGGCGCCUAGGUGGGUCAGUCAGUCAAGUGUCCACUCUUGAUUUUUGGCUCAGGUCGUGACCUCGGGGUUGUGAAAUCAAGCUGUGUGUUGGGCUUGUGCUCCACACACAAUCUUCUUGUCUCUCUCCCUCUGAUCCUCUCCCCACUGUGCACACUCUCUUGCUCUCUACAAUAAAUAAAACCUUAAAAAAAAAAA
Mustela lutreola (European mink) is the source of this 8718-nucleotide RNA transcript. It is a transcript of the gene named dynein cytoplasmic 2 light intermediate chain 1, with no coding region annotated. The record is from RefSeq and is a predicted model, not a curated record. Lineage: Eukaryota; Metazoa; Chordata; Mammalia; Carnivora; Mustelidae. The transcript is spliced from 14 exons.